AUGAACGCUGGCGGCGUGCCUAAUCCCUGCAAGUCGAGCGAACAGACGAGGAGCUUGCUCCUCUGACGUUAGCGGCGGCCGGGUGAGUAACACGUGGAUAACCUACCUAUCAGACUGGGAUAACUUCGGGAAACCGGAGCUAAUACCGGAUAAUAUAUUGAACCGCAUGGUUCAAUAGUGAAAGACGGUUUUGCUGUCACUUAUAGCUGGAUCCGCGCCGCAUUAGCUAGUUGGUAAGGUAACGGCUUACCAAGGCAACGAUGCGUAGCCGACCUGAGAGGGGGGUCGGCCACACUGGAAGUGAGACACGGUCCAGACUCCUACGGGAGGCAGCAGUAGGGAACCUUCCGCAAUGGGCGAAAGCCUGACGGAGCAACGCCGAGUGAGUGAUGAAGGUCUUCGGAUCGUAAAACUCUGUUAUUAGGGAAGAACAAAUGUGUAAGUAACUAUGCACGUCUUGACGGUACCUAAUCAGAAAGCCACGGCUAACUACGUG
RNAcentral lists this ribosomal RNA (496 nucleotides) under uncultured bacterium. RNAcentral's name for it is "partial 16S ribosomal RNA". It matches the Rfam family "Bacterial small subunit ribosomal RNA", at positions 29 to 507 of the family's 1533-position model. The record is from RNAcentral.